Molecule: ribosomal RNA, 263 nt
Filed under: uncultured bacterium
Lineage: Bacteria
Description: partial 16S ribosomal RNA
Rfam family: Bacterial small subunit ribosomal RNA
Source: RNAcentral
GUCCACGCCCUAAACGAUGUCGACUAGUUGUUCGGGAAGGUGACUUCUUGAGUAACGUAGCUAACGCGUGAAGUCGACCGCCUGGGGAGUACGGUCGCAAGAUUAAAACUCAAAGGAAUUGACGGGGACCCGCACAAGCGGUGGAUGAUGUGGAUUAAUUCGAUGCAACGCGAAAACCUUACCUACCCUUGACAUGCCUGGAAGUCUGCAGAGAUGCGGAUGUGCCUUCGGGAACCAGGACACAGGUGCUGCAUGGCUGUCGU